CCCAUCAGCUAGUUGGUAGGGUAAUGGCCUACCAAGGCAAAGACGGGUAGGGGGCGUGAGAGCGUGGCCCCCCACACUGGUACUGACACACGGACCAGAUACCUACGGGUAGCAGCAGCAAGGAAUAUUGCACAAUGGGCGAAAGCCUGAUGCAGCAACGCCGCGUGGAGGAUGAAGGCCUUCGGGUUGUAAACUCCUUUUCUGGGGGAAGAGAACGGACGGUACCCCAGGAAUAAGGCCCGGCUAACUACGUGCCAGCAGCCGCGGUAAAACGUAGGGGUCGAGCGUUAUCCGGAUUUACUGGGCGUAAAGCGCAUGUAGGCGGUCGCUUAAGUCGGACGUGAAAGCUCCCGGCUCAACUGGGAGAGGCCGUUCGAAACUAGGCGACUCGAGGAUGGUAGAGGAGAGUGGAAUUCCCGGUGUAGUGGUGAAAUGCGUAGAUAUCGGGAGGAACACCAGUGGCGAAGGCGGCUCUCUGGGCCAUUCCUGACGCUGAGAUGCGAAAGCUAGGGGAGAGAACGGGAUUAGAAACCCCGGUAUUCCUAGCCGUAAACGAUGUCAACUAGGUGUAGGUGGUUAUUAACCCCAUCUGUGCUGUAG
RNAcentral lists this ribosomal RNA (600 nucleotides) under uncultured bacterium. RNAcentral describes it as "bacterial SSU rRNA". It matches the Rfam family "Bacterial small subunit ribosomal RNA", at positions 237 to 851 of the family's 1533-position model. The record is from RNAcentral.